GGGUCGUUAGCUCAGUUGGUAGAGCAGCGGACUCUUAAUCCGUCGGUCCGGGGUUCGAAUCCCUGACGACCCACCA
Molecule: transfer RNA, 76 nt
Filed under: Methylohalobius crimeensis
Lineage: Bacteria; Pseudomonadati; Pseudomonadota; Gammaproteobacteria; Methylococcales; Methylothermaceae
Also listed under: 2 other names
Description: tRNA-Lys
Rfam family: tRNA
About the family: Transfer RNA (tRNA) molecules are approximately 80 nucleotides in length. Their secondary structure includes four short double-helical elements and three loops (D, anti-codon, and T loops).
Source: RNAcentral